GUUCCAGCCGCCGCGGUAAUACGGGGGGGGCAAGCGUUGUUCGGAAUUACUGGGCGUAAAGGGUUUGUAGGUGGCUCGCUAAGUCAGACGUGAAAUCCCUCAGCUUAACUGGGGAACUGCGUCUGAGACUGGCAAGCUUGAGUGCAGGAGAGGAACGCGGAAUUCCAGGUGUAGCGGUGAAAUGCGUAGAUAUCUGGAGGAACACCGGUGGCGAAGGCGGCGUUCUGGACUGCAACUGACACUGAAAAACGAAAGCCAGGGGAGCAAACGGGAUUAGAAACCCGUGUAGUCC
Molecule: ribosomal RNA, 292 nt
Filed under: uncultured bacterium
Lineage: Bacteria
Description: partial 16S ribosomal RNA
Rfam family: Bacterial small subunit ribosomal RNA
Source: RNAcentral